This 238-nucleotide unclassified non-coding RNA is filed under the name Hevea brasiliensis (rubber tree). The record is from RNAcentral. Lineage: Eukaryota; Viridiplantae; Streptophyta; Magnoliopsida; Malpighiales; Euphorbiaceae.
AACAGUCCAAAACCGAUUCAAGCACCAAACGACGAAUCUCUAGGUCCCAGGGUUACAUUACAGUAAAACGACGCAGUAUCUGUGCUUUGUUGCUUCUUCUUGUUUGUUACUUUGCUUUCGCCAUAAGCAGAGAUCACACGGAGCUAGAAAUCAAAAGCAGAAUAAGAAUUCGAAGAAAUUUUUUUGUGGGUUUCUAUUAGUUCACGAAUGGGUGAAACAAAGUCUGGUUUUUUUUUUU